This 253-nucleotide ribosomal RNA is filed under the name uncultured bacterium. RNAcentral describes it as "partial 16S ribosomal RNA". It matches the Rfam family "Bacterial small subunit ribosomal RNA", at positions 524 to 776 of the family's 1533-position model. The record is from RNAcentral.
CACGUAGGGUGCGAGCGUUGUCCGGAAUUAUUGGGCGUAAGAGCUCGUAGGCGGUGUGUCGCGUCGGCCGUGAAAACCUGCAGCUUAACUGUGGGCUUGCGGUCGAUACGGGCAUCACUGGAGUUCGGCAGGGGAGACUGGAAUUCCUGGUGUAGCGGUGAAAUGCGCAGAUAUCAGGAGGAACACCGGUGGCGAAGGCGAGUCCCUGGACAACACCUGACACUGAGGCACGAAAGCUAGGGGAGCAAACAGG